AAACUCGGCAAAUUGACACCGUAACUUCGGGAGAAGGUGUGCCGCUGGCGGUUAGUGACUUCGCGUCACGAAGCUGUUGGUGGUCGCAGUGAAAUGGCGGUUGUGACUGUUUACUAAAAACACAGGACUCUGCGAAGUCGUAAGACGACGUAUAGGGUCUGAUGCCUGCCCGGUGCUGGAAGGUCAGGGGGAUAUGUCAGCGCAAGCGAAGCAUUGAACCGAAGCCCCAGUAAACGGCGGCCGUAACAAUAACGGUCCUAAGGUAGCGAAAUUCCUUGUCGGGUAAGUUCCGACCUGCACGAAGGCAUAACAACAUCCGCACUGUCUCGACCAGGGACUCAGCGAAAUUACAUUGGGGGUGAAGAUGCCCUCUACCCGCGGAAAGACGGAAAGACCCCAUGAACCUUUACUGCAACUUGGCAGUGAUUUUCGGGUUGUUCUGCGUAGGAUAGGUGGGAGGCUUUGAAGCCGGGCUUCCGGGUUCGGCAGAGCCAACGUUGAAAUACCACCCUGAAUAAUCUGGAAAUCUAACCUGCGCCCAUGAUCUGGGCGAGGGACACUGCCUGGUGGGCAGUUUGACUGGGGCGGUCGCCUCCUAAAUUGUAACGGAGGCGUGCGACGGUUCCCUCAGGCUGAUUGGAAACCAGCCGUAGAGUGCAAACGCAUAAGGGAGCUUUACUGCGAGACUGACAAGUCGACCAGUUGCGAAAGCAGGUGUUAGUGAUCCGGUGGUACCACAUGGAAGGGCCAUCGCUCAUCGGAUAAAAGGUACUCUGGGGAUAACAGGCUGAUCGCGCCUGAGAGUUCACAUCGGCGGCGCGGUUUGACACCUCGAUGUCGGCUCAUCGCAUCCUGGGGCUGGAGCAGGUCCCAAGGGUUUGGCUGUUCGCCAAUUAAAGCGGUACUCGAGCUGGGUUUAAAACGUCGUGAGACAGUUUGGUCCCUAUCUUCCGUGGGCGCAGGACACUUGAGAGGAGCUAUCCAUAGUACGAGAGGACCUGGAUGGACGAACCUCUGGUGCUCCGGUUGUCACGCCAGUGGCAUAGCCGGGUAGCCAUGUUCGGACAGAUAACCGCUGAAGGCAUAUAAGCGGGAAGCUGGCCUCAAGACUAGGUGUCCCUGACGCAAGUCACUAAAGGCCCCUCGAAGACUACGAGGUUGAUAGGCUCGGUGUGGAAGCGCUGCGAGGCGCGGAGCUAACGAGUACUAAUAGGCCGUGAGGCUUGACCUC
This 1231-nucleotide ribosomal RNA is filed under the name metagenome. RNAcentral's name for it is "bacterial LSU rRNA". It matches the Rfam family "Bacterial large subunit ribosomal RNA", at positions 1710 to 2925 of the family's 2925-position model. The record is from RNAcentral.